UAAUAGUGAUAUGGAGCAAAACCCUAAAAGCGGUCUCAGUUCGGAUUGAAGGCUGAAAUUCGCCUUCAUGAAGCUGGAAUUGCUAGUAAUGGCAGGUCAGCAUACUGCCGUGAAUACGUUCCCGGGCCUUGUACACACCGCCCGUCACACCAUGAGAGUUGGAAAUACCCGAAGCCUGUGAGCUAACAGUAAUGAGGCAGCAGUCGAAGGUAGAGCCAAUGAUUGGGGUGAAGUCGUAACAAGGUAAC
This 248-nucleotide ribosomal RNA is filed under the name uncultured bacterium. RNAcentral's name for it is "partial 16S ribosomal RNA". It matches the Rfam family "Bacterial small subunit ribosomal RNA", at positions 1252 to 1500 of the family's 1533-position model. The record is from RNAcentral.